RNAcentral lists this ribosomal RNA (444 nucleotides) under Staphylococcus aureus. RNAcentral's name for it is "partial 23S ribosomal RNA". It matches the Rfam family "Bacterial large subunit ribosomal RNA", at positions 930 to 1379 of the family's 2925-position model. Lineage: Bacteria; Bacillati; Bacillota; Bacilli; Caryophanales; Staphylococcaceae. The record is from RNAcentral.
CUCGGGUUACCGAAUUCAGACAAACUCCGAAUGCCAAUUAAUUUAACUUGGGAGUCAGAACAUGGGUGAUAAGGUCCGUGUUCGAAAGGGAAACAGCCCAGACCACCAGCUAAGGUCCCAAAAUAUAUGUUAAGUGGAAAAGGAUGUGGCGUUGCCCAGACAACUAGGAUGUUGGCUUAGAAGCAGCCAUCAUUUAAAGAGUGCGUAAUAGCUCACUAGUCGAGUGACACUGCGCCGAAAAUGUACCGGGGCUAAACAUAUUACCGAAGCUGUGGAUUGUCCUUUGGACAAUGGUAGGAGAGCGUUCUAAGGGCGUUGAAGCAUGAUCGUAAGGACAUGUGGAGCGCUUAGAAGUGAGAAUGCCGGUGUGAGUAGCGAAAGACGGGUGAGAAUCCCGUCCACCGAUUGACUAAGGUUUCCAGAGGAAGGCUCGUCCGCUCUGGG